Molecule: long non-coding RNA, 464 nt
Organism: Halichondria panicea
Lineage: Eukaryota; Metazoa; Porifera; Demospongiae; Suberitida; Halichondriidae
Exons: 3
Source: RefSeq, a predicted model, not a curated record
AGAACUGUGGAGCACUUCAACCGUUGGUUUGUGGAGCACAUCAACCUGCUCAAGGACGACGGGUACACUCCCCUCCACCUGGCAGCACUUAAUGAUCACCUGGACGUUGUCACUGCCUUCGCUGAAGUGGCGCUGGGUCAGGCUGGCCAGUGUUUCCCUCUGGAGAUGUUCGAGUGGCAGUCAAUGGCCGAGUGUGGACAUUCAACCAUCAGGCCAUGGUAGCCGCCCCGGAUGAGAACCCUCCUGAAUUAAGUGCCAGAGUCUGCAGGAGGGCUGGACAGUGACAAUAUUGGACUGCAUCUCAAGAUCCUGUCCCUCCUCGAGAACCCGACCGUCAUCGUAGAUACCAACACUCUCAGAGAGUUCCUACGCAAACAUCCCACAGAGGUGAGGACACAGUGUUAUGUACUCUCUCUCCCUUCUUUCAAUUUUGGGGACUCUUUCAGCUGCCAUAACUUGAAUUC